Non-coding RNA from Macaca mulatta (Rhesus monkey), 1026 nucleotides. The record is from RefSeq and is a predicted model, not a curated record. Lineage: Eukaryota; Metazoa; Chordata; Mammalia; Primates; Cercopithecidae.
GAAGGGCACCAUUUUAUGGGACUUAAGCCUGAGGGUGGAGCACAGAUGGCCUAGGUGUUAAAGUAAUUGUUCACAAUGCUGGCUGUACCGUGGGAUCACCUGGGGAACUGCAGAGCACCUGGCUCCCACUGCUGAAGAUUCUGGAUUAAUUUAUCUGGGGUGGAGACUAGGGGUGGGUAUGUUUGAAAAGUUUCUCAGGUGAGUCUAGUGUGCGUCAGGGCUCAGCACCACUGCCCAAAAGAUAUGCUGAGUUCUAGCUCUGGGUGUGUGAAGAUAAGGCACUGUCUGCCUCUCUCUGCUGGAUGUUCUAUCUAAGCAGCAUGGAUAUCGACAAGGCUCCAGGACGGACAAGAGAAGGUCUUAGAUGCUGAGAUCAUUACCAUCUUAAAAGACAGCAAGGUUUAUCCGUGUCCCUGGGAACCAAGAGUCACACUUUCCCAUCAACCAGCUGUUGCUCUUUGCCAUCAGCUUUGUCUUAAGUUCCAGUGAAUUUAGGAGCCACGGAAGCCCUGAAUCUCAGAAGCCCUAAGAUGCAGCCCGGAAAAGCUGAUUGGAAAGGAGAUUGUGUCCCUGGCCAAGGGCCAACAGCUCAACUUCCUCAAGAUCCCAUCUUUGCCUUUGCAGAGCCCAUUAGGAUGCCCCUGUUAGGAUAUUGCCUCCUUGUCACCCGAGCUGUUUGCAGCCCGUGUCCUAUCCUGGCUUGCCCUUCCUCCAACGACAAUUGAAAGUUUUCGGAUUUUCCUUAGUAAGAAGACAACAGCAGGGACAUGAUACCCUUUCAAAAUGCAGAGGGGGCUUUACAUUCACAUGCAUACAGACUCCUCUUUCAAACAGUCUCAGAGCGGGAAACCUCACAUUCUCAGCAGAUGGCCUUUUACCAGCACCUCAGUUGUUAGGAUACCUGUUAUCUGAUUGAUACUCCCAAGAUCCUGGUUGAAAUCCCUUUGUUUCCAUAGUCUUGAGGAUAUGCCUUCAUGUUUUACAUGUUAAAUUGUGGCUGUUUCAUAUAAAAUGGUUUGGCAUUUU